This 357-nucleotide long non-coding RNA is filed under the name Androctonus crassicauda. Lineage: Eukaryota; Metazoa; Arthropoda; Arachnida; Scorpiones; Buthidae. The record is from RNAcentral.
GCUAAUUACAGACGUUUUUGGCUGCUUUUAUAGAAAAAGAAAAGGUAUUCUUUGUUCUGUGUUCUAUUUGCAGUUAUAUUAAUCUGUAAACCUGAUGAUGGCCGCUAACGCAUCCAAAAACGUUCAUAAUUGGCAAUAGAGGACAUGUGGCUGCUGCUGAGGAGUGCUGCAUUGUUGUUUUUUAGUAUCAUUUAUAGCCUUAAAUUUUUCCAAAAUAGCCCUAUCUAUGCAAUCAUUCUGUUUAUCAUUGUGCAUAUUCAUGAACAAAUAUUCUUUGAGUUUACAAAAAUAUCUGUAAUGAACUUUUAUAGACACAAACUAGCCAUUUUCAGAUUUUAUUCAAUGUUUUUAUUCACU